This is a long non-coding RNA of Meleagris gallopavo (turkey), 2517 nucleotides long. RefSeq lists it as uncharacterized. The record is from RefSeq and is a predicted model, not a curated record. NCBI's taxonomy places the organism in Eukaryota, Metazoa, Chordata, Aves, Galliformes, Phasianidae.
CUCAAGUGCUGCAAGUUUCCUGUGAGAAUUUCCUCUUCUUGAACUACCGAGCGCCUCCCAGCACGCCUGUCUUAUCAUCCAGGCACUACCUUUAAUUACACUCUGUGGAAGUUAACACACAGCCGUCGGCUCUCACAGCAGCAGCAGUUGAUGCAGCAUCAUUAGCAGUUCUGGCAGCCCACCGAGAAAUAAUUACACACAUAAUGGAACCACAACAGCGAUGACAGGCUCAGCACACAGCCAUGUAAUCAAGGGAACAUGUAGGGCUUCUGGACACAAGAAGUGGCACGGACCAACCAGGCCUGUGGCACAGCAGGGAGGAGCAGCCGUCAUCCCGAUAACGGUACAUCAGCACAGAGGGCAGAGCAGCCCUUUCCAAUUCCUCUGGCCCAUCCGCAGGUUGGCGCAGCCAUUUCUUAAUUCUCUAACACUGCUGCCUUGUUCUGUUAUGUUCUGAUUUCUCCUCCCUAGAGCACUUUUUCCCUUUCUUGGUCCUGCUUUGCCAGCUACACUUCUAUCUUCUAUAUCCUACAGAUCAUCAUCUCAUGAAUUCCAUUACUGUCCACUGGAAAUGUCUUUUUUUUUUCCUCCCAAUUUUAAACAAGUUUUUACAUACCUAGGAAUCAUACGCAUCCUCCCCUAAUUACCUCACUGUAGUUAGCAGAGUGUAACCCCUCCAUUGUAAGCAAUACCUCUGUUCCCACAGACCGCAUUUUUCCUCUUCGUUGACUCCAGCUAUUUUACAUGUUUCCCAUGACACAGCACAAUAUUGGGCAUUGUAUCUGCAGUGGAACUGCCCCACAACUUGCUUGGGCAGCCGCCUUUUCUGGGUCAUUUCACAGCAAAUGGUUACUUGCUCAUUAGCACACAGCCCCAUGGCUGAGGCUACAGCCUGAACCGAGCGUUCUGUGGAGCAUUUUGUACAUUUGCAUUUUUAAAUUCAAUACUACAUACUGCAGCAAAUGCAUGAGUAUUUGUACCACUGCUUCUUGAAGUUUGGCAGGUAGGUGUCUUUUACGUGUUUAAAGCAAACAGCAUUACGUCAAGCAGCACAGGUUGCAUAACCUCCCCUUUCCCCACAUUCUCUACAGCUGCAGACAGAUCAUUUUUCCUUUAAUAAUCACAUCACUUUUGCAGUUGUUGUUAAGAUAUAACUGCAGGAAUAUUGAUAUGGUGGAACCCUCAGCUGCAGGGAACCAACACUACAGCAGCACACAAUCACUAUUUAACUCACAACAGACUGCAGUGAGGUACAGAUCACCUGGAACCUGAAUCCAAUGACUGUAACACAAGUCACCUUAGCAGAGAUCUUCAAAAUAGCUCCUGAUUACAGAUAUUUGGAGACAUUCUUUGAUUCAAAUGAGGAUUGCCAAACAUAUAUUCCAGACUCUGCCUUGAAUAAAGCAGAAUAUCUCAGCUGCUGCAAGCUCAGUAACACUGAAAUUCUAUUGUUUGGUCCAGAAUGCAUCUUUUAUCUAUUUAUCUAUCUAUCUAUAUAUAUAGAUUUAUUUAAGAGACAGACUCUAGAGUUCAUAUAUAUGAUCUGAAGCAUAGAAGUGCUACUAAGCACUGAGUCAAAAUCCUUCUCUUUGUACAAAGCCACAUGAACCUCUUUAUCCCUCCAAACAUGUAACUGUAACACACACCACACAAAGGAAAUACUGUGCUAUGGAAGAAGAGCAAUUGAGGCAUCAGCAGAAAAGCAUGGAACUCCACAAUAAGUACAGAAGCACUUAAUAUCAUUGGGAAUUAGGUAUGUAAAGGUAUCUAAGCACCAUUGUGAACCUGGGUGUAAGAUCAUUUACUUUCUUUUUUCUUUUUUAAAGCUCAUAAGGCAUCUUCAACAUGCAUGAAACUCAUGACCAUCAGGCAUCAAAGAGAAUCCCUAAUGUGGGCAGAGGGGACAGGAACACUGCAGGCUCACUGCACGCUGCUCUGGGUUUGGAUCACACGCAAAAUGAAUACAAGGCCUAUAUUUGCCUGUUCUCGUUUCAAGUGAGAGUGUCUCAGUGACAGAUCAUAAUUCAUAAGUAACAAAAUUACUUGGAGAUUAUUUUUAUUGCAAAUAUUUGUUUUACAGUGAAUCAGUACUCAUUAAUAACAGCAGCUGAAAAGAACUUUUAUAGCUGAAAAGGGUUCUUUCAUAGAAAUUCUUGGAAAAAAUUACCAGAAUUCAUGUACUGAACUUUGUUAAUACAGUAAGAAAAAGUUGCCCAUCAUUUUAAUUUCUCAGGCUUCAGAAUCUCUUUACAAGAAAAAUGAAGUAUUUUGAGAUCAAAAAGAACUUCUUUCAUCUAUUUUGUAACCAUAAAUUUGCAACUCAUGAUUUGGAAGGCAUGGAUCUCCUGCAACUCUUCCACGAUGCCAUUCCAAAAGGUUUCUUAGAUUACUUAUCUUCACGUUGAUCAUUUGGACUUGGUCAAGUUGUACUUCCUUUUGGCUCUCUUAUAUUUCACUUUUAGGGUUGGUUAUAAUCUAUAGAGCAUUUCAAUCAUUCUCUUAAAGCUCUUGCUCUUA